CCUAACUUUACCGUUCUCUCUCUCCAAAGAAGGCAAGCUUGUAGGUAAAUUUGAUCAAAACCUACAUGAUUUAGAGCAAAAUUCAUGGAGGUUCAUCAUUUGAGGGUUCCUCGGGUCUCCAAAAUAUCACGCACUUGUGAUUUGCCAUGAACAGAGCAAGUUACAGACUGCCUAGAGGAAGAAUCCCAGACAAUGAAGAAGGGUGAAUUGCACUACAACAAUUGCACCUGGAAUAUGCCUUUUGUUUCAUCAGAGUCGAAGCAAGAUUUCGCUGUUGUCCAACUAAGCUGUGAGGUCGAGCUUGUUUCCUUUAUCAAGGUGUGUAAUGUUUUCUCUUUUUAGACAGAAGCAAUGCAUUAAAAUGGAUACACAUUGCCUGAGAUGUAAAGGUGCCAAUAAAGUUGCUCUAUUACUUAUU
Long non-coding RNA from Nicotiana attenuata, 418 nucleotides. RefSeq lists it as uncharacterized. The transcript has 2 exons. Lineage: Eukaryota; Viridiplantae; Streptophyta; Magnoliopsida; Solanales; Solanaceae. The record is from RefSeq and is a predicted model, not a curated record.